CCCACACCCCGGCCGGCGCAAGCUAGACGUCUGGGCAGCUCCCAGCGCAGCGCUGCAGCCUCCGCCUCCUGCACGGUGUGCGCGCCCGCGGCCAGGGCGGCCUGAACAAGUCUUGGCGGCUGCCGCCGCCCAGACCGGACGACAAGCCACCUAGGCGUCUGCCGGAGUCUCCGCCUCAUCGCCGCCACCACCUCGGACGGCAGUCUGACUCAGUCCGGGAAUAAUUGCGGAGAACUGGAGCCACCUCCUCGGGGGCAGCAAUGCGACCCUCCAGGACCGCAGGACCCGCGCUGCUGGUGCUACUAGCUGCGCUGGUAUGGGCGAGUUGUGCGUUGGAGGAAAAGAAAGGUAAGGGCGUGCCCCUCGACCCCCCGCACCACUCUCCAGAGCGCGCUUCUUGACCCGCAGUCAGCCCCGCCCGCG
This 423-nucleotide long non-coding RNA is filed under the name Marmota monax (woodchuck). The record is from RNAcentral. Lineage: Eukaryota; Metazoa; Chordata; Mammalia; Rodentia; Sciuridae.